RNAcentral lists this ribosomal RNA (267 nucleotides) under uncultured bacterium. Its description in RNAcentral is "partial 16S ribosomal RNA". It matches the Rfam family "Bacterial small subunit ribosomal RNA", at positions 1238 to 1500 of the family's 1533-position model. The record is from RNAcentral.
UACAACGCGAUGCGACACGGUGACGUGGGGCGGAUCGCUGAAAACCGGUCUCAGUUCGGAUCGCAGUCUGCAACUCGACUGCGUGAAGGCGGAGUCGCUAGUAAUCGGCGGAUCAGCAACGCCGCGGUGAAUGCGUUCCCGGGCCUUGUACACACCGCCCGUCAAGUCAUGAAAGUGGGUAGCACCCGAAGCCGGUGGCCCGACCCUCGUGGGGGGGAGCCGUCUAAGGUGAGACUCGUGAUUGGGACUAAGUCGUAACAAGGUAAC